UACGUAGGGUGCGAGCGUUGUCCGGAAUUAUUGGGCGUAAAGGGCUCGUAGGCGGUUUGUCGCGUCGGGAGUGAAAUCCACUGGCUUAACUGGUGGCUUGCUUUCGAUACGGGCAGACUGGAGGUAUGCAGGGGGAGAACGGAAUUCCUGGUGUAGCGGUGAAAUGCGUAGAUAUCGGGAGGAACACCAGUGGCGAAGGCGAUCACCUGGGGUUGUUCUGACGCUGAGGAGCGAAAGCUAGGGGAGCAAACGGG
RNAcentral lists this ribosomal RNA (254 nucleotides) under uncultured bacterium. RNAcentral's name for it is "partial 16S ribosomal RNA". It matches the Rfam family "Bacterial small subunit ribosomal RNA", at positions 524 to 776 of the family's 1533-position model. The record is from RNAcentral.